This 459-nucleotide ribosomal RNA is filed under the name Microbacterium oxydans. RNAcentral's name for it is "bacterial SSU rRNA". It matches the Rfam family "Bacterial small subunit ribosomal RNA", at positions 13 to 484 of the family's 1533-position model. Lineage: Bacteria; Bacillati; Actinomycetota; Actinomycetes; Micrococcales; Microbacteriaceae. The record is from RNAcentral.
UUGAUCCUGGCUCAGGAUGAACGCUGGCGGCGUGCUUAACACAUGCAAGUCGAACGGUGAACACGGAGCUUGCUCUGUGGGAUCAGUGGCGAACGGGUGAGUAACACGUGAGCAACCUGCCCCUGACUCUGGGAUAAGCGCUGGAAACGGCGUCUAAUACUGGAUAUGUGACGUGAUCGCAUGGUCUGCGUCUGGAAAGAAUUUCGGUUGGGGAUGGGCUCGCGGCCUAUCAGCUUGUUGGUGAGGUAAUGGCUCACCAAGGCGUCGACGGGUAGCCGGCCUGAGAGGGUGACCGGCCACACUGGGACUGAGACACGGCCCAGACUCCUACGGGAGGCAGCAGUGGGGAAUAUUGCACAAUGGGCGCAAGCCUGAUGCAGCAACGCCGCGUGAGGGAUGACGGCCUUCGGGUUGUAAACCUCUUUUAGCAGGGAAGAAGCGAAAGUGACGGUACUGCAG